AUUGAACGCUGGCGGCAUGCUUUACACAUGCAAGUCGAACGGCAGCGCGGGCUUCGGCCUGGCGGCGAGUGGCGAACGGGUGAGUAAUGCAUCGGAACGUGCCCAGUAGUGGGGGAUAGCCCGGCGAAAGCCGGAUUAAUACCGCAUACGACCUGAGGGUGAAAGCGGGGGACCGAAAGGCCUCGCGCUAUUGGAGCGGCCGAUGUCGGAUUAGCUAGUUGGUGGGAUAAAGGCUUACCAAGGCGACGAUCCGUAGCUGGUCUGAGAGGACGACCAGCCACACUGGGACUGAGACACGGCCCAGACUCCUACGGGAGGCAGCAGUGGGGAAUUUUGGACAAUGGGGGCAACCCUGAUCCAGCCAUGCCGCGUGCGGGAAGAAGGCCUUCGGGUUGUAAACCGCUUUUGUUCGGGAAGAAAUCCUCUGGGCUAAUACCCCGGGGGGAUGACGGUACCGGAAGAAUAAGCACCGGCUAACUACGUG
RNAcentral lists this ribosomal RNA (484 nucleotides) under uncultured bacterium. RNAcentral's name for it is "partial 16S ribosomal RNA". It matches the Rfam family "Bacterial small subunit ribosomal RNA", at positions 29 to 507 of the family's 1533-position model. The record is from RNAcentral.